GUAUAUGUUGUCAAAUACUAUAACGUGAAAUGCUUGACUGCGAAGGCGGGAAUAACAUGCACCUUGUAUAAGUGAAUGGUUGGCGUCCAUUCGUGAUACUUGAAGACGACUCCCCAUCGCUAGAACUACACGGUCUUUGGAAAAGUGGAAGAGAAGAAGUGGCAUGCAGUAUUUUUGUACUGCACGACUAAAGGGAUUUGGUACGCGGUACGACUAGACUGGCGGGAAAUUAGGCGGCGCGAGCUAGUUAGACAAAGUUGUUGUCAAGGAGUCUGGCAUGUCAGACAUGUGAUCCUGCCAUCGGCACUAGUCAAACUACUUCCACGAAACCAUCUUAUGACAGAGACAGAAUGGAGGAACCUAGGUGUUCAACAGAGCCCUGGCUGGGUACACUAUAUGAUCCAUAAACCUGCACCCAGCACGUGUAUGCGCAACUGUUCCAUGAUGGUUCGCUAUCAUCAUUCCCUACACGCGGAAAUAUUGACCCACUGAUCCAAUGAAAGAGCCUCAUAUUUUGCUGUUCAAGAGACCAAGAACUGAUGGAUAUCAAGACUAAGUAAUGUCCUUUCAUCAAUUUCUGUACACUGUGAAUUGCAGCUUGGUAAAUUUUGAGUGUGCCAAAGACUCUUGUCACAGUUGGCAAUGGGGCAUAUGUAAAUGCAUGUAGAAGUUUAUCUCACGAUAUUCAAGUUUGGUUUUCAGUGUUGAAAAUGUUUGUAAUAUACAUGUAAUAUAUGUACCUGGGCAACUUGUAGCCUAAGUAGCAACUUUGAUUGUUUUUUCCCAACAUUGUAAUAUGUGAUACAUAUGCUUAGGAAAACAGCAGAACAUACGGUGACGGUCUGAGCCUUGAUGCA
Molecule: long non-coding RNA, 857 nt
Organism: Acanthaster planci (crown-of-thorns starfish)
Lineage: Eukaryota; Metazoa; Echinodermata; Asteroidea; Valvatida; Acanthasteridae
Source: RefSeq, a predicted model, not a curated record